AAGUCGUAACAAGGUUUCCGUAGGUGAACCUGCGGAAGGAUCAUUAAAGUAGCUGUGUGGGCUGUAUAGCCCCGCAACACUGUGUGAACACAACGACGCCUUCCCAGUCUUCGGGCUGGGGUAUUUAACGAAGAAAGUAUGGGCAGGCAAUAAUACAACUUUUAGCGAUGGAUCUCUUGGCUCUC
RNAcentral lists this unclassified non-coding RNA (185 nucleotides) under Phylloporus sp. RNAcentral's name for it is "partial contains small subunit ribosomal RNA, internal transcribed spacer 1, and 5.8S ribosomal RNA". The stretch from base 1 to 46 matches the Rfam family "Eukaryotic small subunit ribosomal RNA", at positions 1786 to 1831 of the family's 1831-position model. The record is from RNAcentral. Lineage: Eukaryota; Fungi; Basidiomycota; Agaricomycetes; Boletales; Boletaceae.